Molecule: unclassified non-coding RNA, 359 nt
Filed under: Hevea brasiliensis (rubber tree)
Lineage: Eukaryota; Viridiplantae; Streptophyta; Magnoliopsida; Malpighiales; Euphorbiaceae
Source: RNAcentral
CAUUUAAAGAGGUUGCAAUCUUCGCUCCAAUCUGAAGUGGAAGAAGAGAGACUCUUGAAGCCCAUGAACACUGAUAACUGGAGAGUGAAGCGUGAGAGGCGGAGGCAUUCGUUAUUGCGAGGUCUUUGAAUUGUAUAGAAAUUUUGGCUGGGAAUUGCAAGUUCCCUUUUUGAGAGAUUAAUUGUACUGCGGCUUUCAUGUUCAGUAGUUCUUUUUCAUCAGAUGAAUAAAUGAGGUCAAAUUUUAUACGCCAAAGCUGUUUUGGGUACUUGCUUCACCAAGGUGUAUAACUUGAUAGGUCUAUUUAUUUAUUUAUUUAUUUUUUAAGUUUCUCUUGGAUGUAUUCCUUGCCUUGUGUU